This 378-nucleotide ribosomal RNA is filed under the name uncultured bacterium. RNAcentral describes it as "bacterial SSU rRNA". It matches the Rfam family "Bacterial small subunit ribosomal RNA", at positions 28 to 407 of the family's 1533-position model. The record is from RNAcentral.
GACGAACGCUGGCGGCGUGCUUAACACAUGCAAGUCGAGCGGAAAGGCCCUUCGGGGUACGUCGAGCGGCGAACGGGUGAGUAACACGUGAGCAACCUGCCCUACGCUUUGGGAUAACCCUCGGAAACGGGGGCUAAUAACCGGAUAUUCACUACUGGUCGCAUGGUUGGUGGUGGAAAGUUUUUCGGCGUGGGAGUGGGCUCGCGGCCUAUCAGCUUGUUGGUGGGGUGAUGGCCUACCAAGGCGACGACGGGUAGCCGGCCUGAGAGGGCGACCGGCCACACUGGGACUGAGACACGGCCCAGACUCCUACGGGAGGCAGCAGUGGGGAAUAUUGGACAAUGGGCGGAAGCCUGAUCCAGCAACGCCGCGUGAGGG